GUCGAGCGGUAGCAUUGGGAGUACGUUUUCUGGGUGACGAGCGGCGGACGGGUGAGUAAUGUCUGGGAAACUGCCUGAUGGAGGGGGAUAACCACGGGAAACGGUGGCUAAAACCGCAAAACGUCUCAAGACCAAGGAGGGGGACCUUCGGGCCUCUUGCCAUCACAUGUGCCCAGAUGGGAUUAGCUAGUAAGUGGGGUAAUGGCUCACCUAGGCAACGAUGCCUAGCUGGUCUGACAGGAUGACCAGCCACACUGGAACUGAGACACGGUCCAGACUCCUACGGGAGGCAGCAGUGGGGAAUAUUGCACAAUGGGCGCAAGCCUGAUGCAGCCAUGCCGCGUGUGUGAAGAAGGCCUUCGGGUUGUAAAGCACUUUCAGCGAGGAGGAAGGUGGUGAACUUAAUACGUUCAUCAAUUGACGUUACUCGCAGAAGAAGCACCGGCUAACUCCGUGCCAGCAGCCGCGGUAAUACGGAGGGUGCAAGCGUUAAUCGGAAUUACUGGGCGUAAAGCGCACGCAGCGGUUUGUUAAGUCAGAUGUGAAAUCCCCGGGCUCCACCUGGGAACUGCAUUUGAAAACUGGCAAGCUAGAGUCUCGUAGAGGGGGGUAGAAUUCCUGUGUAGCGGUGAAAAUGCGUAGAGAUCUGGAAGAAUACCGGUGGACGAAAGCGGCCCCCUGGACGAAUAACUGACUGCUCAUGUGCGAAAGCGUGGGGGAGCAAACAGGAUUAGAUACCCUGGUAGUCCACGCUGUACAACGAUGUCGAUUUGGAGGU
Molecule: ribosomal RNA, 778 nt
Filed under: Serratia marcescens
Lineage: Bacteria; Pseudomonadati; Pseudomonadota; Gammaproteobacteria; Enterobacterales; Yersiniaceae
Description: bacterial SSU rRNA
Rfam family: Bacterial small subunit ribosomal RNA
Source: RNAcentral